This 3406-nucleotide long non-coding RNA is filed under the name Oncorhynchus mykiss (rainbow trout). Its description in RNAcentral is "lncRNA (ENSOMYG00000061583.1)". The record is from RNAcentral. Lineage: Eukaryota; Metazoa; Chordata; Actinopteri; Salmoniformes; Salmonidae.
AUGAGACGUUGGGUAUUUGGUCCAGAUGAGAGCUGUUCAUCGGGCAGACAUCUUUACCAGAUUUCGUCGUCAUGUAACCUUUCAAGAUAUGAGGCAGACUGUGUGAUGUGUGUCUGGCACAUCAGGACUACUCUGUUGGUUUAUAAUGGGGUUGUGGAGACGUAUAGAGAACACACACAGCUUCGCAUGGCGGCCCUCCUGACAGGAACACACGGACGAGCACAGCGGCAUUCUGGGACCAGGUGGUGCCGAGGCCAAUCGUGGAUGAGAUGUUCCGUGUCCCAGUACCAGGCUGAGGUCGUGACCUCUACAGAUGGGACGGCCAGACUCAGUGUGAGCUCUCCUCUCCUCACAUUGCUCUCCUCACCACUCCCUCUUUGGUCAGACCUCACACUCUGACAUGAUAGAGGGAUAGUCCUCAAGCUCAUCUUCCUGACUUUCAACUCUCCUUUCCUUUGUAUGUUCCUCCCCCUCUUUCUAUCACUCUCUUCCUCCCCUUAUUCAUUCUAGCCUGUCUUCUCUUCCAUCUCCCUCCAUCCCCAGUUCCUCUCCUCCAUGUCCCUCUUUCUGUCCUCCAUUUCCUCCCCCUUUCCCUAUUUUCUUGUAAUCUCCCCUUCCACUUCCUUCUGCCCUUCCUCUAUCUCCUCGAUCUCUAACGCUUUCCAUUCCCCUCCUCUUUCUGCUCCCUCACCUCAUCCUCCUCACCUCCUCUCCUGAUUGUUCAAUUCCAAGCAGGCUUAAUACCACAGCAUCAGACAGUUAGACAGACACACACGUUGGAAGCAGGCAGCGUCCAUUUAUCAGAGAAGCGAAGCUCUCCGUGAAGAUUCUAUACUUUAGUCUCUAUUCUCAGCAGAGGACAUCGUCAGAUAAAUCAACAGAGAAGAUGGUGAUCUCACUCUGCACUUUCCUCUCAGAGGCAGUGAUAAGUCUUUUAAUGUAACGGGCCAUACACUCAUUUGUUAGAGAUGGUGAUUACAAUUGUUUGAGGUUUUCUAGCCCAUGAUAGGGAUAGCGUGGUUGUAUUGAAAUAAUUGUUGACCUCUCUCUGAAUGAAAGACAAGGAGAUGAAGAGAUUCAUGUUUUAAAGUCGUGUUCUUGGCCGUGAAGCAGAUUGAGGCUCUGCUCAAGGUAUUAUUGGCGUUACAAAUAUUGCGAAUGUUUAUGUAAUUCUCAAAUGACUCAUGACCCAGUACGACUAGUAGGUGACGCAGGAUUUCUGUUUACCCUUGUGUUUUUAUCAGGUUAAUGGACUGUUAUAGACUCACAGUUUUUAAGUUCAUGUUGGGAAUUUGAAGAAUAUGUUUCCAUUGUUGGAAAACAUGACAAAAUGUUCCUUUCUUGGAAGUAAACAAAGUUACUGGUCUGAAACGUUGCUCAAUCUGUGUCUCGGGAACAUUGUAGAUGUUGUAGAUGCACGUAACCUGGCAACCGUCCUCACGGGCUAUGGUCUGUGGUCCCCAUGGAGACGUCAGUGAUGUCGACAGACACUCUUUGUCAAGUAGCCUACAGGAACAGGUGGAUUUUUUUAGACAUUGUUUUUCGUUUUCAGAGAUGAUAUAUAAUCCUUGAUUUGAAGCCAGUUACAGUACCAUAUACAGGAAAUAAAGUUACAGUACCAUAUACAGGAAAUAAAGUUACAGUACCAUAUACUGUAAAUAAAAAGUUACAGUACCAUAUACAGGAAAUAAAAAGUUACAGUACCAUAUACAGGAAAUAAAAAGUUACAGUACCAUAUACAGGAAAUAAAAAGUUACAGUACCAUAUACAGGAAAUAAAAAGUUACAGUACCAUAUACAGGAAAUAAAAAGUUACAGUACCAUAUACAGGAAAUAAAAAGUUACAGUACCAUAUACAGGAAAUAAAAAGUUACAGUACCAUAUACAGGAAAUAAAAAGUUACAGUACCAUAUACAGGAAAUAAAAAGUUACAGUACCAUAUACAGGAAAUAAAAAGUUACAGUACCAUAUACAGGAAAUAAAAAGUUACAGUACCAUAUACAGGAAAUAAAAAGUUACAGUACCAUAUACAGGAAAUAAAGUUACAGUACCAUAUACUGUAAAUAAAAAGUUACAGUACCAUAUACAGGAAAUAAAAAGUUACAGUACCAUAUACAGGAAAUAAAAAGUUACAGUACCAUAUACAGGAAAUAAAAAGUUACAGUACCAUAUACAGGAAAUAAAAAGUUACAGUACCAUAUACAGGAAAUAAAAAGUUACAGUACCAUAUACAGGAAAUAAAAAGUUACAGUACCAUAUACAGGAAAUAAAAAGUUACAGUACCAUAUACAGGAAAUAAAAAGUUACAGUACCAUAUACAGGAAAUAAAAAGUUACAGUACCAUAUACAGGAAAUAAAAAGUUACAGUACCAUAUACUGUAAAUAAAAAGUUACAGUACCAUAUACAGGAAAUAAAAAGUUACAGUACCAUAUACAGGAAAUAAAAAGUUACAGUACCAUAUACAGGAAAUAAAAAGUUACAGUACCAUAUACAGGAAAUAAAAAGUUACAGUACCAUAUACAAUAAAUAAAAAGUUACAGUACCAUAUACAGGAAAUAAAAAGUUACAGUACCAUAUACAGGAAAUAAAAAGUUACAGUACCAUAUACUGGAAAUAAAAAGUUACAGUACCAUAUACUGUAAAUAAAAAGUUGGCCAAACUUCUAACAAUGUCGCAACGAACUCAAAUAACUUAUUUGAUGAUAAUUAUCUCCCCUUCUCCCCUCUCUGUCCUGUGUGCCUCAGUUAGUAGAGCAUGGCACGUGCAAUGCCAGGAGUGUGAGUUUGAAAAAGUACAAAAAUGUAUGCAUUCACUACUGUAAAUCGCCCUGGAUAAGAGCUUCUGCUAAGUGACUCAAAUGUUAAAUUGAGAGUAAGCGUUCAUACCACAAUAUUUACAAAGUUUUCAUAAACAAGAGCCAACCUGGAUGGCAGUUUUUUGUGUGAAUCCGGCCGCUUCUCACUAUUGGCCACUCAGGAUCCUAACGAGGAGGCAUUAGUUGCGUUUAAGUGUCUUCUCAACACCAAAAAUGUAAACAUGACAGCCCGGGCUCUUCACUCUGUGUGUGUGUGUGUGUGUUGUGUGUGUUCUCCAUACGAUGGAUGGGAUAACAAGAGGAAAGCUUAUCCCGACCACCCCUGACCAAGUCCUUCAAAAAUGGUUUCCAUAUGGUUCAGGCUAAUAAAUCCUUACUAGAUGCAAUACGACACAUCAAAGUCCUUCAUAAAACUGAGCCCAAAAGUGGCAUGGACUUUGAAUUUCUUCUGUUUUCAGCUGAAUCAUCAUGCACGCACACACACACACCUCCAUCCUGCCCCCCCCCCCCCCCCCCAGCCAUGGGGGUGAGGGUAGGGGUGUAAGGGGUGUCUGUGGGGCACCAGAGGGUCUCUCUGGCCCUCAUCUGGAG